UAAAUUUUCCUUCGGUACAAC
RNAcentral lists this non-coding RNA (21 nucleotides) under Caenorhabditis elegans. The record is from RNAcentral. Lineage: Eukaryota; Metazoa; Nematoda; Chromadorea; Rhabditida; Rhabditidae.